GAUGAACGCUGGCGGCGUGCCUAAUACAUGCAAGUCGAGCGAACAGACGAGGAGCUUGCACCUCUGACGUUAGCGGCGGACGGGUGAGUAACACGUGGAUAACCUACCUAUAAGACUGGGAUAACUUCGGGAAACCGGAGCUAAUACCGGAUAAUAUAUUGAACCGCAUGGUUCAAUAGUGAAAGACGGUUUUGCUGUCACUUAUAGAUGGAUCCGCGCCGCAUUAGCUAGUUGGUAAGGUAACGGCUUACCAAGGUAACGAUGCGUAGCCGACCUGAGAGGGUGAUCGGCCACACUGGAACUGAGACACGGUCCAGACUCCUACGGGAGGCAGCAGUAGGGAAUCUUCCGCAAUGGGCGAAAGCCUGACGGAGCAACGCCGCGUGAGUGAUGAAGGUCUUCGGAUCGUAAAACUCUGUUAUUAGGGAAGAACAAAUGUGUAAGUAACUAUGCACGUCUUGACGGUACCUAAUCAGAAAGCCACGGCUAACUACGUG
RNAcentral lists this ribosomal RNA (497 nucleotides) under uncultured bacterium. RNAcentral's name for it is "partial 16S ribosomal RNA". It matches the Rfam family "Bacterial small subunit ribosomal RNA", at positions 28 to 507 of the family's 1533-position model. The record is from RNAcentral.